ACGAUAUGAUUCGUAUUACAUAUAUGGUAAGAAUGUGGUUCAUCUAUGUGUAAGACUGUGGCUUUGACUGGUUUUUCUGAGAAUGAUCCACUACCAAUUGGUAUAUUCUACAAUUUUCAAGAAUUUUGUACAUUGGAGAGUGUUCGGCAAUUCCUGGACCUUCCAGAUUUAUAUGGAAUGUUGUAUAUAGAAAUUUCUGGAAGUCGAACCUUCCAGAGCUUAUAUUUUCGAAAGCUUCUUCUAGGACGAGAGAUAUAGAUGCAAACAAGAAUUAAUAGUAGGUAGUUAUUAAUAGUACAGCCAUCAGACAUUUUUGAAUUAGAAUUAUGAAUUAAACGAAAGGUUUUACUUGUUAUUUUUAGAAGAUGAAGUUUUAGUUGAAUAGGGAUGUAGAAAAAAAGUAAAAAAUAAUUGUUGUUCACGUUUUUAUUUAACUUUCGUCAAAAUUUGAACUGGGAAUUAUCUCUAUAAGCUUGGAACGGAACCAUCUAAAUAAAGCAGAUAUAGAAGUAUUUCCAAGUAUUCGUUCCAAAUUGGAUGUUUUUGUGAAUUUAAUCAGUCUGUAGAUACUUGGGCACAUUGUACUUACAUAAAAUACAUUGCUUUAAAAUUAGCGAUAUGUUUCUAUAUGAGCAAAAAUAUAUAAUUACAGCCUAAGCGAAUAUUCAACACUUUUAGGCACACGCUUUGAUUAAAUAUAUGAACACUGUUGUUUUUUUACUGAUAACAGCGGGGUUUUCGCGCACAUAAUACUAUAUUCUCAACACCAGGUAGGAUUAUACCAACCUAAUAAAGCUAAUGAGGGUCUAGAUUCUGGUAUAUACUAAAUUUUAACAAUUAUUCAUUUAAAUAUCUUGUUAGUACACUCCAACCAAAUACAUUACAACUAAGAAACCAUAAAUUGUUAUACGAAAAACUGCAAUCUGAUAUUUUCUAUAUAAUAAUAGUUUUAUAUUAUGUCAAUAAAUAGCUAUUUCAUGAAAUCUAGCAAAAUACAAGAUGUUGAGAAAAUGAAAUAAACAUAUAAAGAAGAAGAACUAUCUAUCAUUAAUGAGAAAGUCUUUUUGGAGCCAAAGUGAUAAAAAAUUCGCUAUGGGAAGCAUCGAAAAAGGUCUACCAUCCACAACAUAUAAAUCAACUUAUAUGUAUUUCAAAAGGCCACUAGAUAAGAGACAGUUCAACAAGAGCUAAAAGUUGUUCUGUCCCCCUAGAAAAAAAAAUUUGAAUAAUAGAUGCUCACAAUGAAGUAAAACAAACAAUCGGACUUCUGUAAUUACCACUAAACUAAAUAUCUAGAAAUUAAGUUCUGAAAGUAAUCAAAGACUUCAAUCCCAUGAAAUCACUAGAAUACGAUUUGAUAAGUCCUCCUCGAACUAUUGUGCAUGGUAAAGUUGAUAACAUCCAUAUAUAGGUAACGCAUUUUGAAUUUUUUCCAAUCUAAUCCUCAAACUUGGUAAACCAACCAAAGGUGUAACCUCCUAUAGACUCAUCACUGUAUCUCCACAAUGUUAUUGUGUUCUGGAAUCAAUACAAGAUUUUAUUGCCAAUAAAUCACCAGGAUACCACUUGAUAAAUGCCAAAGUCCUCCUCGAAAUACCUCAAUGCACAGUAGAGUUAAUAACCUUCAUUCAUAAUGUAAUUUUGAAGUUGAAUUAUUUUCCAAUCUAAUAAAAACUGUCCCAGUUAUGUUACUCCACAAUUUUGGUAAACCAACCAAAGAUGUAAUCUCUGAUAGGCUCAUCAGCAUAACAACACAAUAUUAUUAAGUUCUGAAAGCAACAGAAGGCUUUUUACUAGGAAACUAAACUAGAAACAAUCCUUAAAAUUUAUUAUUAAAUCUCAGAAUAUCAACUUUGUUUUCAAGAAGAUGCCUCAAAGAUAUUCAGAAAGAAGCAUUUUCUAACUUUCCACACUUUUCAACAUAUUUUUAGAUCACACCACGUGUAUAUACAACAAUAAAAUAUUUUAUUUCUAUGUUGUAAUAUUUAUGGUUGCCACAUAUGAAUGGAAACAGUAUUUUUUUAUUAAUGUCCCAAUAAACAUUCUAUCAGGUCUGUUGUGUUUGUUAUACUGGCUAUUUUUGUGUAAAAUACAUAUGCAGAAAAAAAUGAUGUUUUCGCAUUUAUGAAUUUAAAUAGUUUUAUUUGACACAUCUAGGUUAAACUAUUCCAUUAUAGAUAGCUAUACAUGUAAAAUAUCAUUUAACCUUGACAUAAUAACUUGUUUUUAAAAACACCCUGUGUAGAUUUGUAAUGAGUUUAAAUAAUGUCUAAAGCCAUAAUUGCAGUGCGGUUAAUGAAUAGCUUUUUUCAACUAUGAAAUAAUAACGAUUUUUUGUAAACAUUAUAUACAUUUUGUUAAAAAUUUGACAAAAUAUAUUAUUUAAGUAGGUUUUACUUCUUAUAAUUGAGGGGUAAGGAUGCAAAACUCACAUUCUCCAAAAUUUGAACAUAUUGAUAUAUGCACAUCACUGAAGCGGUCAUUAACGAUAUUUGGUUAAAAAUUCACAUUAUUAGCUUUAAAUAAAUGUACAAAAUAGCAGUUUGAUUCAUAACCGUGUAUAUAAUCUUUGUCAUGAAGCCAAGUUCACAUUCUUCAAAUCAACCAAUCACAAGGAUUGCUGAGCUUGUUUACAAAAGUUGUUAAUUAAAUUAAAGUUUGUUAAAUUUAAUUAAUAAUAAAAGUGAUAAAUACUUACAUCUAAGUGUGCCUUUUUUUAUGCAUCUAACCCACAUAACAGAUGAAGUACUUUCAAUAACUUUUCUUGGUUCUGGUUGUUUGGUUGCGUAUAACGAUUUUGCUUCAAAGCUCCCAUUCUUCAUGAGAUUUUGGUUCAAAACUCUCACGUGGCCACUUGUUUGGUACAAAAAUCACAUUAUCCAAAUUUAGGGUUAUGUUUAUUGAAAAAUAACUUGAAUAAUAAGAGGAUACUAUGAAAAAAUUGUAAUAAUUUGACUUGGAUAUCAAAUAUAAACAGUUUUUGGCGUUUUCCCUAAAGUUUACAAAAGCGGAAUUUAUACAUCUAUACCCCUCAAUUUUGCUUGCUCUCGAAUCAAUUUCUCUCUGUGACACUUUUAAGAGUCGAUAAACUUUUACUAAAGCCGGUAUUACACUAUCAUAUUUCUAUUUCAUAGAUUAUUAUCAAAUAUAAAAAUAUUACAAGGUAUUUAAUAAAAAAAAUUGAUAGUUGAAAUAUGAUCACUUAUUAUUCUAAUACUUAAUCAAUUGUAGAGAAGUUAUACAUAUCAACAAAUAUUUCUAUAUUCACAAUCAAAAUGGCAUCUGAGAAGUUACAGUAAAUAGUAGCCGCAAUAAUGUUUUCUAUAUCAGAAUAUGAAGCAAAUGAAAUACUAUAUAAUAUAAAGACUAAUGACUAUAAAAAGAGAAACAAACGUUUGUUUAUAUAUAAGUGUUAAUGAAAGUUGUAUACAGUGUAUAGAGGCUGAGAGAAGUGGAGAAGAAAGUCACAAGGCACAACCGAAAUUUGAUACGUUUACAAACCUUAAUUUGAGUAGGUUCUUUCUAUGCAGACUAAUAUUUUGUCAAAUUUUUCAUUUUCGCUAGUCUAGAAGGACGUUUUUUGGAGUCUUUUUGAUUGUAUCAAAGUUCUGAUUAAAAUGUUCUUUAAUAAAACGAGAAAUAAUGAUAUCGAACACAUUGUUUACUACACUCGCAAUUAGACUGUCCGACGUGCAUUUCGAUUCCCAAACCAUUUUCAGCGACCAAAAGUGAACUGUUAAAUUUCAAUUCAGUUCACCUUUGGCGCGUCAAGCGAUGUUAUUAUGAAUAGUAGCAAGCAGUGUAUUCACUUGUACUAAUUUACGAAGUUAUCGGCGGUUGUAGUCAUAUAAUUAUUAUUUUCUUAAAUAAAUGAUCUUGUUUUUAGU
Molecule: long non-coding RNA, 3887 nt
Organism: Diorhabda carinulata
Lineage: Eukaryota; Metazoa; Arthropoda; Insecta; Coleoptera; Chrysomelidae
Exons: 2
Source: RefSeq, a predicted model, not a curated record